UGAAAUAUAGCUCAGUGGUAGAGCACUUGCCUAUUAGCUGAAAAGCCUUGGGUUUAAUCUCCAGUAUUGCAA
Molecule: transfer RNA, 72 nt
Filed under: Cavia porcellus (domestic guinea pig)
Lineage: Eukaryota; Metazoa; Chordata; Mammalia; Rodentia; Caviidae
Rfam family: tRNA
About the family: Transfer RNA (tRNA) molecules are approximately 80 nucleotides in length. Their secondary structure includes four short double-helical elements and three loops (D, anti-codon, and T loops).
Source: Rfam by way of RNAcentral